RNAcentral lists this ribosomal RNA (253 nucleotides) under uncultured bacterium. Its description in RNAcentral is "partial 16S ribosomal RNA". It matches the Rfam family "Bacterial small subunit ribosomal RNA", at positions 524 to 776 of the family's 1533-position model. The record is from RNAcentral.
UACAGAGGGGGCAAGCGUUGUUCGGAAUUACUGGGCGUAAAGGGCGCGUAGGCGGCCUGUUAAGUCGAACGUGAAAUCCCCGGGCUCAACCCGGGAACUGCGUCCGAUACUGGCAGGCUUGAAUCCGGGAGAGGGAUGCGGAAUUCCAGGUGUAGCGGUGAAAUGCGUAGAUAUCUGGAGGAACACCGGUGGCGAAGGCGGCAUCCUGGACCGGUUCUGACGCUGAGGCGCGAAAGCGUGGGGAGCAAACGGG